GAUGAAGAACGCAGCGAAAUGCGAUAAGUAGUGUGAAUUGCAGAAUUCAGUGAAUCAUCGAAUCUUUGAACGCACAUUGCGCCCCAUGGUAUUCCGUGGUGCAUGCCUGUUCGAGCGUCAUUUACCCCCUCAAGCUCCGCUUGGUGUUGGGCGUCUGUCCCGCUUCGCGCGCGGACUCGCCCCAAAGGUAUUGGCAGCGGUCGUGCCAGCUUCUCGCGCAGCACAUUGCGCUUCUCGAGGCACCGGUGGGCCCGCGUCCAUCAAGCUCACCCCCCCAGUUUGACCUCGGAUCAGGUAGGGAUACCCGCUGAACUUAAGCAUAUCAAUAAGCGGAGGA
RNAcentral lists this unclassified non-coding RNA (337 nucleotides) under soil metagenome. RNAcentral's name for it is "partial contains 5.8S ribosomal RNA, internal transcribed spacer 2, and large subunit ribosomal RNA". The stretch from base 1 to 120 matches the Rfam family "5.8S ribosomal RNA", at positions 35 to 154 of the family's 154-position model. The record is from RNAcentral.